CCCAUAGCCAAUAGGUCAUAUAAGUCAUAAAGCCACAACCCAUAAGGGUGUAAUUGUAUAAAUUAAAAAUAAUUUGCAUACAUAUCCAUGAAAAUUUAUAAUUACAUAUAUAUCCAUGAAAUUAUAAUUCCAUACAUAUCCAUGAAAAUUGAUAAUUGCAUACAUAUCCAUGAUAAUCAAAGUACGAGGGUGAGAUUGCAAGUUUACAACGUUGCAUUAUUGAUGCCAUAUAAACAUGGUAAAAAACAAUAAGCUAGUGCUUGGUAGUUAUAACACGUUUG
This 281-nucleotide long non-coding RNA is filed under the name Zostera marina. RNAcentral's name for it is "long non-coding RNA (ZMAR_LNC002164)". Lineage: Eukaryota; Viridiplantae; Streptophyta; Magnoliopsida; Alismatales; Zosteraceae. The record is from RNAcentral.